This 1772-nucleotide long non-coding RNA is filed under the name Citrus x clementina. Its description in RNAcentral is "Citrus clementina (C. clementina) long non-coding RNA (CCLE_LNC005940)". The record is from RNAcentral. Lineage: Eukaryota; Viridiplantae; Streptophyta; Magnoliopsida; Sapindales; Rutaceae.
CCCACCAAGGCUAUAGCCCACCCGUUUUUUGGCCAUUUUUCCGCUGGGGGGUCUUGGCGCCCCGACCUUCGGGGGCUGAAUUUUGGGCGCGGGUGUGCCCGUGGCCUAUUUUUGGCACACGGAGGCCGCCCGCAAAGUCUGGGGCCAUUCCGAGUCCGGCGGACGAACUUCGCCCACGCCCCCCACCAAGGCUAUCAGCCCACCUCGUUUUUUUGGCCAUUUUUCCGCUGGGGGGUCUUGGCGCCCCGACCUUGGGGGGCUGAUUUUUGGGCGCGGGUGUGCCCGUGGCCUAUUUUUGGCACACGGAAGCCGCCCGCAAAGUCUGGGGCCAUUCCGAGUCCGGCGGACGAACUUCGCCCACGCCCCCCACCAAGGCUAUAGCCCACCCGUUUUUUGGCCAUUUUUCCGCUGGGGGGUGUUGGCACCCCGACCUUCGGGGGCUGAUUUUUGGGCGCGGGUGUGCCCGUGGCCUGUUUUUGGCACACGGAGGCCGCCCGCAAAGUCUGGGGCCAUUCCGAGUCCGGCGGACGAACUUCGCCCACGCCCCCCACCAAGGCUAUAGCCCACCCGUUUUUUGGCCAUUUUUCCGCUGGGGGGUCUUGGCGCCCCGACCUUCGGGGGCUGAUUUUUGGGCACGGCUGUGCACGUGGCCUAUUUUUGGCACACGGAGGCCGCCCGCAAAGUCUAGGGCCAUUCCGAGUCCGGCGGACGAACUUCGCCCACGCCCCCCACCAAGGCUAUAGCCCGCCCACCCGUUUUUUGGCCAUUUUUCCGCUGGGGGGUCUUGGCGCCCCGACCUUCGGGGGCUCAUUUUUGGGCGCGGGUGUGCCCGUGGCCUAUUUUUGGCACACGGAGGCCGCCCGCAAAGUCUGGGGCCAUUCCGAGUCCGGCGGACGAACUUCGCCCACGUCCCCCACCAAGGCUAUAUCCCACCCGUUUUUUGGCCAUUUUUCCGCUGGGGGGUCUUGGCGCCCCGACCUUCGGGGGCUGAUUUUUGGGCGCGGCUCUGCCCGUGGCCUAUUUUUGGCACACGGAGGCCGCCCGCAAAGUCUGGGGCCAUUCCGAGUCCGGCGGACGAACUUCGCCCACGCCCCCCACCAAGGCUAUAGCCCACCCGUUUUUUGGCCAUUUUUCCGCUGGGGGGUCUUGGCACCCCGACCUUCGGGGGCUGAUUUUUGGGCGCGGCUCUGCCCUUGGCCUAUUUUUGGCACACGGAAGCCGCCCGCAAAGUCUGGGGCCAUUCCGAGUCCGGCGUACGAACUUCGCCCACGCCCCCCACCAAGGCUAUAGCCCACCCGUUUUUUGGCCAUUUUUCCGCUGGGGGGUGUUGGCACCCCGACCUUCGGGGGCUGAGUUUUGGGCGCGGGUGUGCCCGUGGUCUAUUUUUGGCACACGGAGGCCGCCCGCAAAGUCUGGGGUCAUUCCGAGUCCGGCGGACGAACUUCGCCCACGCCCCCCACCAAGGCUAUAGCCCACCCGUUUUUUGGCCAUUUUUCCGCUGGGGGGUCUUGGCGCCCCGACCUUCGGGGGCUGAUUUUUGGGCGCGGCUGUGCCCGUGGCCUAUUUUUGGCACACGGAGGCCGCCCGCAAAGUCUGGGGCCAUUCCGAGUCCGGCGGACGAACUUCGCCCACGCCCCCCACCAAGGCUAUAGCCCGCCCACCCGUUUUUUGCCCAUUUUUCCGCUGGGGGGUCUUGGCGCCCCGACCUUCGGGGGCUGAUUUUUGGGCGCGGGUGUGCCCGUGGCCUAUUUUUGGCACACGGAGGCCGCCCA